GAGCGCAGGCGGUGCGGCAAGUCUGAUGUGAAAGCCCGGGGCUCAACCCCGGUACUGCAUUGGAAACUGUCGUACUAGAGUGUCGGAGGGGUAAGUGGAAUUCCUAGUGUAGCGGUGAAAUGCGUAGAUAUUAGGAGGAACACCAGUGGCGAAGGCGGCUUACUGGACGAUAACUGACGCUGAGGCUCGAAAGCGUGGGGAGCAAACA
RNAcentral lists this ribosomal RNA (208 nucleotides) under uncultured bacterium. RNAcentral describes it as "partial 16S ribosomal RNA". It matches the Rfam family "Bacterial small subunit ribosomal RNA", at positions 567 to 774 of the family's 1533-position model. The record is from RNAcentral.